This 541-nucleotide ribosomal RNA is filed under the name proteobacterium MS-B-92. RNAcentral describes it as "bacterial SSU rRNA". It matches the Rfam family "Bacterial small subunit ribosomal RNA", at positions 150 to 725 of the family's 1533-position model. The record is from RNAcentral. Lineage: Bacteria; Pseudomonadati; Pseudomonadota.
GAGGAAACUUGUGCUAAUACCGGAUAAGCCCUUACGGGGAAAGUUUUAAUGCCAAAAGAUGAGCCCGCACUUGAUUAGCUAGUUGGUAAGGUAAUGGCUUACCAAGGCAACGAUCAAUAGCUGUUCUUAGAGGAAGACCAGCCACAUUGGGACUGAGACACGGCCCAAACUCCUACGGGAGGCAGCAGUGGGGAAUCUUGCACAAUGGGGGAAACCCUGAUGCAGCGAUGCCGCGUGAGUGAAGAAGGCCCUUGGGUUGUAAAACUCUUUCGUCGGGGAAGAAAAUGACUGUACCCGAAUAAGAAGGUCCGGCUAACUUCGUGCCAGCAGCCGCGGUAAUACGAAGGGACCUAGCGUAGUUCGGAAUUACUGGGCUUAAAGAGUUCGUAGGUGGUUAAAAAAGUUGAUGGUGAAAUCCCAAGGCUCAACCUUGGAACUGCCAUCAAAACUUUUUAGCUAGAGUGUGAUAGAGGAAAGUGGAAUUUCUAGUGUAGAGGUGAAAUUCGUAGAUAUUAUGUAGAACACCAGUUGCGAAGGCGGC